CAUUUCACUGGAGUAUUUAACCUAACCACGUCUUAGAGGACAGACGCAUGGUCGUACUGCUUAGAUUUACAAGUAAGUAAAACGAUUUUAUAAUGAUUUAGAAUGAUAAAUGUCUUGUAAUAUUUAUAAAAUAAAUAUAACGAGUUUGAGAAAAUGUCUAACGAAGAAGAUAAUAUAAAACAUAAGACGCAUAGAGAACGUAAUGCUGGUCGUAAAGCGGAAAAGAAAAAAGCGAAAAAUCAACAUGUUCAAGAAUUGACGGAUAAACAGAAAAAUCCAAAAGCAUUUACGUUUAAUUCAGCUAUUAAAGCGGAACGACGAUUUAGACGUAAGCAGGAUAUUGAAACUAAAAAGCAACAUAUUCCUGUAGUAGAUAGAACGCCUUUGGAGCCACCGCCAAUAUUGGUCGCAAUUGUAGGACCACCUAAAGUUGGAAAAUCCUUACUUAUACAAUGUUUAAUUAAAAGUUAUGUUAAACAACCAUUAACUAAUAUAAUCGGUCCUGUUACCGUAGUAUCCGGCAAGAAAAGAAGGAUUACAUUUAUGGAAUGUAAUAAUGACAUAAGUUGUAUGAUAGAUAUUGCAAAAGUAGCUGAUUUGGUAUUAUUAUUAGUGGAUGCAUCUUUUGGCUUUGAAAUGGAGGUCUUUGAAUUUCUCAAUAUAUGUCAAGUUCAUGGUAUGCCAAGAAUUAUGGGAGUAUUAACUCAUUUAGAUUUAUUUAAAAAUGCAAGACAAUUGAGAAAAACAAAGAAAAUAUUGAAACAUAGAUUUUGGACUGAAGUAUAUGCUGGUGCAAAAUUAUUUUAUCUUUCUGGAUUAAUUCACGAUGAAUAUCUUCGCACGGAAAUAAAAAAUCUGUCAAGAUUUAUAUCGGUUAUGAAAUUUAGACCAUUGACUUGGCGUACCACCCAUCCUUAUAUACUUGCAGAUAGGAUAGAAGAUUUAACAUCACCUGAAUUGAUAAGGAAAAAUGCCAAAGUUGAUAGAACAAUAUGUUUAUAUGGGUAUGUUAGAGGAGUUCCUUUGAAUAAAGAAUCUUCCAUUCAUAUGCCUGGCUGUGGAGAUCUUAGAAUUAAAGAUGUAAGUUAUUUACCUGAUCCGUGCCCUCUUCCUGAACAAUUAAAAAAACGUGCAUUAAUAGAAAAAGAAAGAUUAAUAUAUGCACCCUUUUCUGGGAUCGGUGGAAUUGUUUAUGAUAAAGAUGCAGUUUAUGUAGAAUUAGCAGGUAGUCAUUCUCAUAAAGAGGAAGAUACAGGUUUAACUGGGGCAUUGAUGGAUACUCAAGAAACAUUAGAUCAAAAGUUACAACAUAGCGAAUUACAAUUAUUUAGUGAUACUGUUCCAAUAAAAUCUAAGGAUAUUAAUGAAGAUUUUAAUUCUCAUUACAUUGGAGAAAAUGUAAUUGAAGAUGGAAGAAUAAGAAGGAAGGUUAUUUUUUCUGAUUCCAAAGAAACAACAACAGCAGCAACUUCUGAUGAGGAUGAUUCUGAUGGUAAUGAAGAAGAGGAUAAUAAUAUUGAAGAAUUCAAUAAUGAAGAUGAUGGUGGUGAUGAUGAUGAUGAUGAUGAUGAUGAUGAUGAUGAUGAUGAUGAUGAUGAUAUAGAAGAGGAUACAAGUAGAAGAGGUAUUAAAAGAAAGAAUCAGGAUUUACAAUUGUUAACCUCUAAAGAGAAAAAGAAAAAAAUUCAUUCUAUUAAUUCUAAUAAAGAAGAUAGUGAUGUAGAUGAUGAUUUUAAAGAUGAUAGUAAUAAGAAAGUUAAAGAUAAAGCAGAAAUAGAAGUCUAUCAUUCUUUAAGUAAAGAAUCUGAUAUACAAGUUAAGAAUAAAAUUACAGAAGUUCUUAAUAUUUUGGAGGCAAGUACAAGCAAUAGGAAUCUGGAUGAAAGUGAUAAUGAAAGUUUUGAUGAGCUUAGUGAUGAUGAUUCCCGUGGUGGUUUAGAAAUAGAUAAUUCUGAUGAUAAUAAUGAUUAUGAAGAAGAGUUGAGAAAAAAAGAUCACAGUAUGAAUGAAAGUGAGAAUGAAAGUGAGAAAGAAAUUGCAGAUGAAUUUAAAUGGAAGACCAAUUUAAUGGACAAAGCCAGAAAAGCAUUUAUAAAUCGUCGAGAAAGUAAUAAAAAUUUAAUGAAAAUUGUUUAUGGAGUAUUUGAUAAAGGCAUACAGAAUAAUGAUAAGAAAGUUAAAGAACAAGAAGAUGAAAAUUAUAAUGAAUCAGUUGGUGAAAUAUUUAAAAUCGUACAAGAAAAACAAAAAGAAAAAUUACAAGAACGUGAAUUACAAAAUUUGGAUGAAUGCAUAUUCUUUUCAAAAGAACCUUCACGUGAUUGGUUGGAUGAGGAGAAUAAAGUGUUGUUGCUUAAUUGUUUUGUUACUGGUAAGUGGAAAGAAUCUGAAGACGCAGAGGAACUUUUAAAAUUAGAUGAUAUAAAUGAAGAUGAAGUGUAUGGAGAUUUUGAGGAUUUAGAAACUGGGGAAAAACAUAAAGCAGAUGAUUCGCAACAAUCAGAAAAUAAUGAAAUGGAUGAAAAGAAAAAGCUUCUUGAGAAGAAAAAGAAGUUAAAAGAACAAUUUGAUGCCGAGUACGAUAAUGGAGAAUCAAAAUCGUAUUACGACGAAUUAAAGCAAGAGGUAGAUAAACAAGCAGAAUUAAACAAAUCAGAAUUUGAAGGAAUAGAUGAUGAUGUUAGAGUUCAAUUAGAAGGUUAUCGUCCAGGAAUGUAUGUGCGUGUAGAGAUACAAACUGUACCUUGUGAAAUAAUUACAAAUUUAGAUCCAUCGUAUCCACUCAUUAUUGGAGGUUUAUUACAUGGAGAAGAGAAUAUAGGUUAUGUACAAACGCGAAUUAAAAAGCAUCGAUGGUAUUCGAGAAUUUUAAAAAGUAAAGAUCCAUUGAUACUUUCUGUAGGUUGGAGAAGAUUUCAAACAUUACCGAUUUAUUCUAAAUUAGAAGAUAAUCUACGUAGUAGAAUGUUAAAAUAUACCCCUGAACAUGUUGCUUGUAUGGCACAUUUUUGGGGCCCUAUCACGCCGCAAGGUACUGGAGUUCUUGCAAUUCAGGAUAUUGCUAGUAGAGAACCAGGUUUUAGAAUAGCAGCAACUGGUUCGAUUGUAGAAAUGGAUAAAAGUACUCAAAUCAUGAAAAAAUUAAAACUGACUGGUGUACCAAUGAAAAUUUACAAAAAAACGGCCUUUAUUAAGGAUAUGUUUAACAGUACAUUAGAAGUAGCUAAAUUUGAGGGUGCAAAGAUAAAAACAGUUUCUGGUAUUCGUGGUCAAAUAAAAAAAGCAGUUUCGAAACCGGAAGGUUGUUUUCGUGCUUCAUUUGAGGAUAAAAUUUUAUUGAGUGAUAUAGUUUUUUGUCGUACUUGGUAUAGAGUCGAGGUACCAAAAUUCUAUAAUCCUGUAACAUCACUUUUGUUACCUCCUGCAGAAAAAAAUCAAUGGCGUGGAAUGAAAACAACUGGUCAAUUAAAAAGAGAAAAGAAUAUACGUGCAAAUGUCAACACUGAUUCACUUUAUAUUCCCAUUGAAAGAACCUUGAAGGUAUUUAAACCAUUGAUUAUACCACGUAAUUUACAAAAGGAACUACCUUAUAAAGACAAACCUAAACUUGAACCUAACCCUCGUACACGGAAAACUAAAUUUGAAGAACGUAGAGUAGCUGUUGUACGAGAUGCCAAAGAAGAAAAUGUAGCGCGUCUAAUGAAAAUGAUUAGAACGACGUAUGCUCAUAAGCAAAAACAACUUAGAAAAGCUACGGUAGACAGGGUUAGAGCCCUUAAAGCACGAGUUACAGCGGAAGAAACAAAAAAAUUGAAAAAACAGAAAGAAUAUAAAAAGCAGAUUUUUAGAGACCUUAGUAAAUUAGAAAAGAAAAAUAAAAAGAUAUAAUUUCUAAAUGGAAGAUUUACACGCACAUAGUAAAUUAAAUGUAAUUAAUUAUAUAAACUAGUUCUUUUUUUGUUUUUUUUUUUGUUUUUUAAUUAGUUAUUCUCUAUGUCAAUUAUAUAUUAUAUUGUCAAUUUAUUGUAAUAAUUUUACGAUGUUUAGUAUUUCAUUCACCUAAGCUAUCCGUGUUGAAUAUUGUUUUAUCCUUUUCUGCAACAAUUGUUACCAUUAUUAAUCGAAAUAUUUAUUUUAUUAUAUUAAUAUUAAAGUAAAAUAUGUAUGUAUAUAAAAGUAUAUGAUGUUGCAUACGUCAAGGUUAGUUAAUCAAUUGAACGUUUAAAUUUGUAUAAAGAAUUAUCAUUGAUAAUUACAGAUGCAUAGAAAAAGAAUAAUAAAUGAACUUACGCUUGAUAAUCGACUUCAGUAGUUUACAAGGCUACAAUGAAUAAACAUGGCGACCGAGGUAUAUGAUUUUACGUCGAGUUUCCGAUCUGAUUUGUACAACUUGUAGAUGGCGCUGCAUGAAAUUCAAUUUACGAAACGCUGGUACGUUAUGCCGCUUUGAUUUUUUAUUGUUGUGAUAUAAUUAGGAAUAUUUUGUGAAAGAACAAACAAUUUAAUCCUUAAUCUGUAAGAAAAUGGAGCUUACGGAUGAGAAUUUGGUAACAUUAAGCGAAUAUUUAAAACAUACAUUAAGUC
Vespa crabro (European hornet) is the source of this 4584-nucleotide RNA transcript. It is a transcript of the gene named exportin-2, with no coding region annotated. Lineage: Eukaryota; Metazoa; Arthropoda; Insecta; Hymenoptera; Vespidae. The record is from RefSeq and is a predicted model, not a curated record. The transcript has 4 exons.